RNAcentral lists this ribosomal RNA (253 nucleotides) under uncultured bacterium. Its description in RNAcentral is "partial 16S ribosomal RNA". It matches the Rfam family "Bacterial small subunit ribosomal RNA", at positions 524 to 776 of the family's 1533-position model. The record is from RNAcentral.
UACGGAGGGCGCAAGCGUUGUUCGGAAUCACUGGGCGUAAAGCGCGUGUAGGCGGCUUGGCAAGUCGGGUGUGAAAUCCCGAGGCUCAACCUCGGAACUGCACUCGAAACUGCCUGGCUCGAGUCCCGGAGAGGGUGGCGGAAUUCCCGGUGUAGGGGUGAAAUCCGUAGAGAUCGGGAGGAACACCAGUGGCGAAGGCGGCCACCUGGACGGUGACUGACGAUGAGACGCGAAAGCGUGGGGAGCAAACAGG